Molecule: non-coding RNA, 305 nt
Organism: Zootermopsis nevadensis
Lineage: Eukaryota; Metazoa; Arthropoda; Insecta; Blattodea; Termopsidae
Source: RefSeq, a predicted model, not a curated record
GCUAUUUCUACUUGUCGUGCUGCCAUUUCUGAUGAUAGCAGUGCCAGUGCGAUGAAGGUGGUACAUGUGACUAUUCCUAAGAGAAUAAUUCCUUCCAUCUCCAUUGGAUACAACACUAUCAUCAUGAGUGUUAGCAUCAGACUGAUCUUCUGUUGAUAUCCUCAGGUGGCAGCAUGAGAUGUUUGCUAAUCUUCAAUGGACAUUUCUCUGGUGCAGAUGUGUUGCUUAUUGUUACCCACCUGUGAAACAAGAAACAAAGAAUGUCAGCUUCUCUUAAAAUUAAAAAAAAAAAGUGAAAUCUGAGA